AUUUCUGCAGUGCUCCUGAAGCCAACUUAACAGAGACUGUUCUAUUGAAAGCUUUCUGAAAUCAUCCUUAAAUUAUGCUGCAUAAUCUCUUGAAAUUAAGUCAAUGGCAAAAUCCAAAUGUAAGUUUAAUUUGGCACCUUCCACUUAACUGAUUCCCAGUGUAUAAAAAACGCUUCAGUUAAGUACUUAAGAUGACAUUUAAUUGGUCCUGAGCCUCGUACUACUAUGUGUAAAAAUCUCUGUACUCUUCAAAAACUUUAAUCACUGUCUUUCAGGCAGGGUUAGGCUUCUUAGGUAUAUAAAAGCUUUAAAGCGGGACAGACCAAGAAAUUUGUUCCAAACUACACAGCUGUCCUCCGUGCUUCUUCAUACCUCUUGGAUAACAGUUCUUGCACUUCUGCCAUUUGCUGAUGGACCCAGAAGCAUGUGAACCUGCCCAUCUGAUUUCAAUAGUCUUUUCCUAAUCUGUCUAUUCAGCAGCAAGACAGUGAAGAAAGAAUCUCACAGAAGAAAGGCACUGGGAUUUUUGGACAGUAUGUUAUGGUCUAGCUCCAUGACUGGGACCCUUGUGUGCUGCUGCAGUAAAAAGAACUGAUAGUAACAAAACAAAGAGCCAGCUCCAUGGUUCUGCCUCCGUUCAUCCAUCUCACAUUUGAUUAGUCCCUGCUUGACAUCGGGCUGGGAGCAAUAAGCUCUGAUCCUAACAGUGAAUGUGGCAUCAAGCCCGAGAGCUCCAUGUGUCACUCCAGAACCAGAUACUGUCUCACUGGAUUCCUCCAUAGAACAACUGAGGCAGAUGUGUGGAUGACAGAUUCGUCUUUCGGGUCUACCUACCACACCCACCAAGGACUGCUGAAUUGUGGUAUAAGGUCAGGCCCGUGGUCACUCUCUUCUGACACUAGCAAGUGACCACAUCCCUCUCAGCUCGAGUGUGAACAUCGCUUCUUAAGAACGAUACCAAAGUCAGCGUCUGUUUCCUCAGUUUCUUCCUGUUCUUCCUUGGGCAUCCCAACAGUGACCUUGAGCUUCAGUACGUGCAGACGAACACCUGCUACUCGGUAAGUCUGUGUUUAGAUGAAACUGCAUCACCCCUGUAGCAAAGUCAGAAUUAAGGCUCAACAGUUGCAUACUAAGA
RNAcentral lists this long non-coding RNA (1135 nucleotides) under Falco tinnunculus (common kestrel). RNAcentral describes it as "lncRNA (ENSFTIG00000015097.1)". Lineage: Eukaryota; Metazoa; Chordata; Aves; Falconiformes; Falconidae. The record is from RNAcentral.